GACGAACGCUGGCGGCGUGCUUAACACAUGCAAGUCGAACGGAAAGGCCCUGCUUUUGUGGGGUGCUCGAGUGGCGAACGGGUGAGUAACACGUGAGUAACCUGCCCUUGACUUUGGGAUAACUUCAGGAAACUGGGGCUAAUACCGGAUAGGAGCUCCUGCUGCAUGGUGGGGGUUGGAGAGUUUCGGCGGUUGGGGAUGGAUUCGCGGCUUAUCCGCUGGUUGGUGGGGUAGUGGCUUACCAAGGCUUUGACGGCUAGCCGGCCUGAGAGGGUGACCGGCCACAUUGGGACUGAGAGACGGCGCAGACGCCUACGGGAGGCAGUAGUGGGGAAUAUUGCACAAUGGGCGGAAGCCUGAGGCAGCAACGCCGCGUGCGGGAUGACGGCCUUCGGGUUGUAAACCGCUUUCGCCUGUGACGAGGCGUGAGUGACGGUAAUGGGUAAAGAAGCACCGGCUAACUACGUG
Molecule: ribosomal RNA, 468 nt
Filed under: uncultured bacterium
Lineage: Bacteria
Description: partial 16S ribosomal RNA
Rfam family: Bacterial small subunit ribosomal RNA
Source: RNAcentral